GGGUUGUGAGGUUAAGCGACUAAGCGUACACGGUGGAUGCCCUGGCAGUCAGAGGCGAUGAAGGACGUGCUAAUCUGCGAAAAGCGUCGGUAAGGUGAUAUGAACCGUUACAGCCGGCGAUGUCCGAAUGGGGAAACCCAGUGCAAUUCGUUGCACUAUCGUUAACUGAAUACAUAGGUUAACGAGGCGAACCGGGGGAACUGAAACAUCUAAGUACCCCGAGGAAAAGAAAUCAACCGAGAUUCCCCCAGUAGCGGCGAGCGAACGGGGAGCAGCCCAGAGUCUGAAUCAGCUUGUGUGUUAGUGGAACGGUCUGGAAAGUCCGACGGUACAGGGUGAUAGUCCCGUACACCAAAAUGCACAGGCUGUGAACUCGAAGAGUAGGGCGGGACACGUGGUAUCCUGUCUGAAUAUGGGGGGACCAUCCUCCAAGGCUAAAUACUCCUGACUGACCGAUAGUGAACCAGUACCGUGAGGGAAAGGCGAAAAGAACCCCGGCGAGGGGAGUGAAAAAGAACCUGAAACCGUGUACGUACAAGCAGUGGGAGCACCUUCGGGUGUGACUGCGUACCUUUUGUAUAAUGGGUCAGCGACUUAUAUUCUGUAGCAAGGUUAACCGUAUAGGGGAGCCGCAGGGAAACCGAGUCUUAACUGGGCGUUAAGUUGCAGGGUAUAGACCCGAAACCCGGUGAUCUAGCCAUGGGCAGGUUGAAGGUUGGGUAACACUAACUGGAGGACCGAACCGACUAAUGUUGAAAAAUUAGCGGAUGACUUGUGGCUGGGGGUGAAAGGCCAAUCAAACCGGGAGAUAGCUGGUUCUCCCCGAAAGCUAUUUAGGUAGCGCCUCGUGAAUUCAUCUUCGGGGGUAGAGCACUGUUUCGGCUAGGGGGUCAUCCCGACUUACCAACCCGAUGCAAACUACGAAUACCGAAGAAUGUUAUCACGGGAGACACACGGCGGGUGCUAACGUCCGUCGUGAAGAGGGAAACAACCCAGACCGCCAGCUAAGGUCCCAAAGUCAUGGUUAAGUGGGAAACGAUGUGGGAAGGCACAGACAGCCAGGAUGUUGGCUUAGAAGCAGCCAUCAUUUAAAGAAAGCGUAAUAGCUCACUGGUCGAGUCGGCCUGCGCGGAAGAUGUAACGGGGCUAAACCAUGCACCGAAGCUGCGGCAGCGACACUAUGUGUUGUUGGGUAGGGGAGCGUUCUGUAAGCCUGCGAAGGUGACCUGUGAGGGUUGCUGGAGGUAUCAGAAGUGCGAAUGCUGACAUAAGUAACGAUAAAGCGGGUGAAAAGCCCGCUCGCCGGAAGACCAAGGGUUCCUGUCCAACGUUAAUCGGGGCAGGGUGAGUCGACCCCUAAGGCGAGGCCGAAAGGCGUAGUCGAUGGGAAACAGGUUAAUAUUCCUGUACUUGGUGUUACUGCGAAGGGGGGACGGAGAAGGCUAUGUUAGCCGGGCGACGGUUGUCCCGGUUUAAGCAUGUAGGCUGGUUAUCCAGGCAAAUCCGGAUAAUCAAGGCUGAGGUGUGAUGACGAGGCACUACGGUGCUGAAGUAACAAAUGCCCUGCUUCCAGGAAAAGCCUCUAAGCAUCAGGUAACAUCAAAUCGUACCCCAAACCGACACAGGUGGUCAGGUAGAGAAUACCAAGGCGCUUGAGAGAACUCGGGUGAAGGAACUAGGCAAAAUGGUGCCGUAACUUCGGGAGAAGGCACGCUGGUGUGUAGGUGAAGCCCCUGCGGGUGGAGCUGAGACCAGUCGAAGAUACCAGCUGGCUGCAACUGUUUAUUAAAAACACAGCACUGUGCAAACACGAAAGUGGACGUAUACGGUGUGACGCCUGCCCGGUGCCGGAAGGUUAAUUGAUGGGGUUAUCCGUAAGGAGAAGCUCUUGAUCGAAGCCCCGGUAAACGGCGGCCGUAACUAUAACGGUCCUAAGGUAGCGAAAUUCCUUGUCGGGUAAGUUCCGACCUGCACGAAUGGCGUAAUGAUGGCCAGGCUGUCUCCACCCGAGACUCAGUGAAAUUGAACUCGCUGUGAAGAUGCAGUGUACCCGCGGCAAGACGGAAAGACCCCGUGAACCUUUACUAUAGCUUGACACUGAACAUUGAGCCUUGAUGUGUAGGAUAGGUGGGAGGCUUUGAAGCGUGGACGCCAGUCUGCGUGGAGCCAACCUUGAAAUACCACCCUUUAAUGUUUGAUGUUCUAACGUUGGCCCCUNNAAAGCGUAACGGAGGAGCACGAAGGUUAGCUAAUCCUGGUCGGACAUCAGGAGGUUAGUGCAAUGGCAUAAGCUAGCUUGACUGCGAGCGUGACGGCGCGAGCAGGUGCGAAAGCAGGUCAUAGUGAUCCGGUGGUUCUGAAUGGAAGGGCCAUCGCUCAACGGAUAAAAGGUACUCCGGGGAUAACAGGCUGAUACCGCCCAAGAGUUCAUAUCGACGGCGGUGUUUGGCACCUCGAUGUCGGCUCAUCACAUCCUGGGGCUGAAGUAGGUCCCAAGGGUAUGGCUGUUCGCCAUUUAAAGUGGUACGCGAGCUGGGUUUAGAACGUCGUGAGACAGUUCGGUCCCUAUCUGCCGUGGGCGCUGGAGAAUUGAGGGGGGCUGCUCCUAGUACGAGAGGACCGGAGUGGACGCAUCACUGGUGUUCGGGUUGUCAUGCCAAUGGCACUGCCCGGUAGCUAAAUGCGGAAGAGAUAAGUGCUGAAAGCAUCUAAGCACGAAACUUGCCCCGAGAUGAGUUCUCCCUGAGACUUUAAGUCUCCUGAAGGAACGUUGAAGACGACGACGUUGAUAGGCCGGGUGUGUAAGCGCAGCGAUGCGUUGAGCUAACCGGUACUAAUGAACCGUGAGGCUUAACCUUACAACGCCGAAG
This 2870-nucleotide ribosomal RNA is filed under the name Klebsiella pneumoniae. RNAcentral's name for it is "23S ribosomal RNA". It matches the Rfam family "Bacterial large subunit ribosomal RNA". The record is from RNAcentral. Lineage: Bacteria; Pseudomonadati; Pseudomonadota; Gammaproteobacteria; Enterobacterales; Enterobacteriaceae.